This 349-nucleotide long non-coding RNA is filed under the name Nicotiana benthamiana. Its description in RNAcentral is "long non-coding RNA (NBEN_LNC019241)". Lineage: Eukaryota; Viridiplantae; Streptophyta; Magnoliopsida; Solanales; Solanaceae. The record is from RNAcentral.
UAGUCAGACUUAACAUUGAUUGAAGCAGCUGUUGGAGAGAAGGCACCAGUCAGACCUGCAAGCACCGGGUAGUAUGCAGCGGCAGUUUUCAAUCAUACAAUGUGUACUCUUAGUCUGACUUUUAGCGGUAGUCAGCUGUCCUCGUUCUCCUCUUUGAAUUGCCCUAUUGAGUAAGGGUCGGUGUUUGCAAAAAUGUCGAGCCGACGGGGUCAGGUACCAGUAGUGACAAUAGCAAAGGGGGGCUGGACACUAGUUGUGCGAGUGGAAUGACCCAACUGGACCUAGUCAAUGAGUAAGGGUUGGUGUUUGCAAAAAUGUCGAGCCGACGGGGUCAGGUACCAGUAGUGAC